Long non-coding RNA from Prosopis cineraria, 1908 nucleotides. RefSeq lists it as uncharacterized. The transcript has 3 exons. NCBI's taxonomy places the organism in Eukaryota, Viridiplantae, Streptophyta, Magnoliopsida, Fabales, Fabaceae. The record is from RefSeq and is a predicted model, not a curated record.
GUCAAAAUUUCAAAACGUUGGCAGAUGAUAUUAGCAAUUUAAAGCACUUGCAUUAUCUGGAUCUUUCUGAGACUUCAAUUGAAAAAUUGCCAAAUUCAAUAUGCUUGCUAAUUAAUUUAAAAAACAUUGAAAUUAAGGGAUUGUCGUUGCUUGGUUGAGUUUCCGUCAAAUUUUUACAAGCUCAUCAACUUGUGUCAUCUUGACUUGGAUGGUUGUUAUUUCAUAGAAAGAUGCCAAAACAUAUGGGAAAGUUAAAUCAUCUCCGGACAAUGAAUUAUUUUGUUGUGGCAAAGAAAGGAAGGUCAGGUUUGAAGGAAUUAGGUACCUUGAACCAUUUAAUGGGUUCACUGACCAUCUCACAUAUGGCAUGCAUAAACAAUCCCAUGGAUUUGAGAGAUGCCAAUUUAAAAGAAAAGCAUUUGGAUAAAUUAUGUCUAAAUUAUAAGUUGUAUGACUAUAGUCGUGAAGCAGGACCACAUCAAGAAGACACAUUACAAGGGCUUGAGCCAAAUAAUAGUUUAAAAGAGAUCAUUGUUGAACAUUACGGAGGUACCAAAUUUCCAUCCUGGUUGGGUGGUUCACACUUUUUGCCCAAUUUAGUGUCUUUAUCUUUGACACGUUGUGCCAACUGUGUGAACUUACCGCCUCUUGGGCAGCUACCUUCUCUGGAGAAACUUGAGAUUACCGAAUUGCAUGGAAUAAAGGUGAUAGGGGAAGAGUUUUAUGGGAAUGGCUCCUCCAAUGCUCCAUUUCGUUGCCUUUCAUACUUAAGUUUUAAAGAGAUGAGAGAAUGGGAAGAAUGGAACAUUUGUCGGGAAGAUGAGAGUUUCCCAUGCCUUCAAGAGCUUCAUAUAUGGUGGUGCCCAAGUCUGACAAAGUCUCUACCUCCACACCUUCCUUGUCUAAAAAAGUUAGACAUCCGCUGGUGUAGAAAUUUGGAGACAGCACUUCCCAAAUCCUCUUGCAUGGAAGUUAUAGAGUUAAAGGAGUGUAAGAAGAUCACAAUAAAAGAUGUGCCUACAUGGAGGGUUAAUACGGCGACGUCAAGGAGGCAGGGGGGUAUAUAAGUUGAAAGAAAUUUCAUUUAGUGAUCAUGACUUUGAAGAUGGGGAGUCCUUCCCUGAGGAGGGCUUGCCGCCGUCCAACCUCUAAUCUCUUUUUUUUCUCAGGUUGUCACAACUUGAGAAGAUUAAAUUGCAGGGGUCUUCUCCACCUCCAAUAUUCCGUUGCUUCCUUAUCUUUUCAAGACUGUCCAAGCAUGAGUUUUGAAGGCAUGCUAGAAAAUGGUUUCCCUCCGUCCCUUUCUCAUUUUAUCUAUUGAAGAUUGUUCAUUGUUGGAGGAGAGGUGUGAAAAUCAGACAGUACCAGAUUGGCCUAAAAUUGCUCAUAUCCCUCAUGUCUCCAUACGCAGAGCUUGACUCUCAUUUUGCUCAAAGACAUUCCUAAAGCUACAGUCUCAAGUUUCCUGGAGCAAAACAACAUCAUUUAUUAAUACUUCGUAUUCUGGAAAAGCAUCAGACCAACAAAAAAAAACAAAAAAGGGAAUUUCUGGCUUCAAUUUUCAGAUUAAAAGAAGAGGCGCUGCUCAAUUGAAGUAUUCAAACCAGCAUGAAUGGCUCAUAUAGAUAGUACUUCUGCAGAAAUUAAAUUAAUCUUCCAGUUGAUUUUACGUGUUCUCUAGAUUUGGUGGGUGAUGGAGUAAGAUAAGUUUAUUGUUGGUGUUACAUUGCUGUAUUUCUUUCGAUCUAUUUUGUAGCUGAUUGGUUUUUUUCCCCUGUUUUUCUUUCAGCGAAACGUUUUUUGAUUUAGUAGCAAGACUUUGUGAUUCAAUGUUGCCUUGUAACGUGUCAUCACUCCAUUUCAAGUGAUUCAUUGUCUUAAGAGUUUAUUUCUAUGAUCGUAAUUGGA